GCCAGUAUGGUGUAAUGGUUUGAAUGUUGGACUACUAUUCUGGAGACCAGGGUUCAAAUCUCUGCUCAGCCA
Phrynosoma platyrhinos (Desert horned lizard) is the source of this 72-nucleotide non-coding RNA. Lineage: Eukaryota; Metazoa; Chordata; Lepidosauria; Squamata; Phrynosomatidae. The record is from the annotation of a GenBank genome assembly.